ACCAUAGUCUAACAAAGUAAACAUGAGCUAAACCACAUAAAAGCUAAGUGCAAUUUUUUGAACCAGGGUAGCUGUGGUCCCAAGUUCGAAUUCUAGUUGAUUUAUAUUUUCAGUUAAGUUUAUUUCUAAAUGAAAUAAACGAAACGGAUAACGUGCUACCUAUCUCUCUCUCAAAAAAAAAAAACUUUUUGAACCAAGAUAGGACAUAAUAGAAAUGCACAGUACCAUAGGGGAGCAAAUUCAAAGAGCGAUGUUACAUGCACAAUCUCAAAUUAGGUAUAAAUUUUAAAGUUAAAGUACCAUUGACCGACUCAAUUCAAACAAAUUGAAAUACUAAAUGAUAAAAUUAAAUUUUUUUUUAAAUUAAAUAAAAUUAUUUAAAAUAAUUCAUAGCUCAAAUAAGUUCUGUUCGUUCUACGUAUAGAAUCCUACGU
Molecule: long non-coding RNA, 434 nt
Filed under: Ananas comosus (pineapple)
Lineage: Eukaryota; Viridiplantae; Streptophyta; Magnoliopsida; Poales; Bromeliaceae
Description: long non-coding RNA (ACOM_LNC019294)
Source: RNAcentral